GAAAAAGAAAACCAUGAAAUUUGCAGGUAAAUGGAUGAAGCUAGAAAAAGUUAUCCUGAGUGAGAUAACCCAGACACAGAAAGACAAAUAAGCCCUCAUCAGAGCAGCGCCCUCCUGCGGCAGAUGGGAACAAAUACAGAGACUCUCAGCUAGAGCAUAUGCAGAGAGGAAGAGAUCCUGGAAACUCAACUCUAAACAGGACAUCUCCACUCAAACUCCUCCCAUCAGGACUUAGGGAACCCUGUGGAAGAGGAGGUGAAAAGAGUCCCACAGCAUACUGCAGAUGGUGAGACCACGGUCCAUCUACUGAGGGGAAGCACAGAUGUGGAGUGGGGCCAGACUAACCCUGAGAAGAGCUGCACUGCAUGUGUUUCACAGGGCAGAGCUGGAGAGGGAGGAAUGCCCCAUCCAUCUGGAUUCCAGAAGAUCACAUGAGUACCAGAUGCUGGACAUUGGGCUGUAGGAUUUGGAUUAUUAUAGCUGGAUUUUGGUAUUGUUAUCAUCUUAAAAUUUUUGUGCUCCAGCUCUUCUCUUGUGGAAUAAGAAAAUAUCUAAUUUUUUGUUUGUUUUACCAGACCCAAUUAAUAAACUUUUGUUUUAUUUGUUUUUUA
Molecule: long non-coding RNA, 611 nt
Organism: Peromyscus eremicus (cactus mouse)
Lineage: Eukaryota; Metazoa; Chordata; Mammalia; Rodentia; Cricetidae
Exons: 2
Source: RefSeq, a predicted model, not a curated record